AGCAGCCGCGGUAAUUCCAGCUCCAAUAGCGUAUAUUAAAGUUGUUGCAGUUAAAAAGCUCGUAGUUGAAUUUCGGGGUUAGUAGGUUGGUCAUGCCUCUGGUAUGUACUGGUCUCACUGAUUCCUCCUUCCUGAUGAGCCGUAAUGCCAUUAAUUUGGUGUUGCGGGGAAUUUGGACUGUUACUUUGAAAAAAUUAGAGUGUUUAAAGCAGGCUCACGCUUGAAUACAUUAGCAUGGAAUAACGAAAUAGGACGUUUGAUUCUAUUUUGUUGGUUUCUAGGAUCGACGUAAUGAUUAAUAGGGAUAGUUGGGGGCAUUAGUAUUCAAUUGUCAGAGGUGAAAUUCUUGGAUUUAUUGAAGACUAACUACUGCGAAAGCAUUUGCCAAGGAUGUUUUCAUUAAUCAAGAACGAAAGUUAGGGGAUCGAAGACGAUCAGAUACCGUCGUAGUCUUAACCAUAAACUAUGCCGACUAGGGAUCGGAUGAUGUUAAUUUUUUAAUGACUCACUCGGCGCCUUA
Molecule: ribosomal RNA, 520 nt
Filed under: uncultured Glomus
Lineage: Eukaryota; Fungi; Glomeromycota; Glomeromycetes; Glomerales; Glomeraceae
Description: SSU rRNA
Rfam family: Eukaryotic small subunit ribosomal RNA
Source: RNAcentral